AAAUUGAAGAGUUUGAUCAUGGCUCAGAUUGAACGCUGGCGGCAGGCCUAACACAUGCAAGUCGAACGGUAACAGGAAGCAGCUUGCUGCUUUGCUGACGAGUGGCGGACGGGUGAGUAAUGUCUGGGAAACUGCCUGAUGGAGGGGGAUAACUACUGGAAACGGUGGCUAAUACCGCAUAACGUCGCAAGACCAAAGAGGGGGACCUUCGGGCCUCUUGCCAUCAGAUGUGCCCAGAUGGGAUUAGCUUGUUGGUGAGGUAACGGCUCACCAAGGCGACGAUCCCUAGCUGGUCUGAGAGGAUGACCAGCCACACUGGAACUGAGACACGGUUCAGACUCCUACGGGAGGCAGCAGUGGGGAAUAUUGCACAAUGGGCGCAAGCCUGAUGCAGCCAUGCCGCGUGUAUGAAGAAGGCCUUCGGGUUGUAAAGUACUUUCAGCGGGGAGGAAGGUGUUGUGGUUAAUAACCACAGCAAUUGACGUUACCCGCAGAAGAAGCACCGGCUAACUCCGUGCCAGCAGCCGCGGUAAUACGGAGGGUGCAAGCGUUAAUCGGAAUUACUGGGCGUAAAGCGCACGCAGGCGGUCUGUCAAGUCGGAUGUGAAAUCCCCGGGCUCAACCUGGGAA
RNAcentral lists this ribosomal RNA (630 nucleotides) under Salmonella enterica. RNAcentral's name for it is "bacterial SSU rRNA". It matches the Rfam family "Bacterial small subunit ribosomal RNA", at positions 1 to 620 of the family's 1533-position model. The record is from RNAcentral. Lineage: Bacteria; Pseudomonadati; Pseudomonadota; Gammaproteobacteria; Enterobacterales; Enterobacteriaceae.